AAGUCGUAACAAGGUUUCCGUAGGUGAACCUGCGGAAGGAUCAUUAACACGUAUCCAACGUUAAACCCCCCGUGAACCUUUAUUGUAGUCGUGCCCUCUGUUGGAAAUACGCAAUCCCUGGUAAAUCAUCGCCGAACAGUUUUGAUUCAGGGACUUCGUUGGUCUGGGUAAGAAGACGCGAGGCAAGUGGUCUGGCAUCCGGAUGGCGCAGUAACGAUCGCUAGAGGCCGACACGGCCGGCGACUGGACCGCUGGGUUUUAACCCCUCUGAUCACCUUUGCAUGAAAACGGGCCUGCGCUUAAUUGUGCGGCCACCAAACUUCGAACAACUGUUAACAAUGGAUAUCUUGGUUCUC
RNAcentral lists this unclassified non-coding RNA (356 nucleotides) under fungal sp. Its description in RNAcentral is "partial internal transcribed spacer region". The stretch from base 1 to 46 matches the Rfam family "Eukaryotic small subunit ribosomal RNA", at positions 1786 to 1831 of the family's 1831-position model. Lineage: Eukaryota; Fungi. The record is from RNAcentral.